This 286-nucleotide signal recognition particle RNA is filed under the name Aotus nancymaae (Ma's night monkey). RNAcentral describes it as "Metazoan signal recognition particle RNA (ENSANAG00000009927.1)". It matches the Rfam family "Metazoan signal recognition particle RNA". From Rfam's summary of the family: The signal recognition particle (SRP) is a universally conserved ribonucleoprotein. It is involved in the co-translational targeting of proteins to membranes. The eukaryotic SRP consists of a 300-nucleotide 7S RNA and six proteins: SRPs 72, 68, 54, 19, 14, and 9. The record is from RNAcentral. Lineage: Eukaryota; Metazoa; Chordata; Mammalia; Primates; Aotidae.
GCUUGGUGCAGUGGUGUGUGCCUGUAGUCCCAGCUACUUGGAAGGCUGGGACGGGAGGAUCACUCGGGCCCAGGAGUUCCAGACUGUAGUGCGUUAUGCUGAUUGGGUGUCUGCGCUAAGUUCCUGGUCCUCCCAGGAAUGGAGGACCACCAGGUUGCCUUAGGAAGUGUGAACCACCUCAGCUUGGACACAGAGCAGGUCAAAACACCUCUGCUGAUCAGUAGUGUGAUUAUGCCUGUGAACAGCCACUGUACGCCAGCCUAGGCGAUAGCAAGACCCUGUCUCU